GUGGGGAAUCUUGGACAAUGGGCGCAAGCCUGAUCCAGCCAUGCCGCGUGAGUGAUGAAGGCCUUAGGGUUGUAAAGCUCUUUUGUCGGGGACGAUAAUGACGGUACCCGAAGAAUAAGCUCCGGCUAACUUCGUGCCAGCAGCCGCGGUAAUACGAAGGGAGCUAGCGUUGUUCGGAAUCACUGGGCGUAAAGCGCACGUAGGCGGAUUUGUUAGUGAGGGGUGAAAUCCCGGGGCUCAACCUCGGAACUGCCUUUCAUACUGCAGAUCUCGAGUCCGAUAGAGGUGGGUGGAAUUCCUAGUGUAGAGGUGAAAUUCGUAGAUAUUAGGAAGAACACCGGUGGCGAAGGCGGCCCACUGGAUCGGUACUGACGCUGAGGUGCGAAAGCGUGGGGAGCAAACAGGAUUAGAUACCCGAGUAGUCC
RNAcentral lists this ribosomal RNA (425 nucleotides) under uncultured bacterium. Its description in RNAcentral is "bacterial SSU rRNA". It matches the Rfam family "Bacterial small subunit ribosomal RNA", at positions 354 to 796 of the family's 1533-position model. The record is from RNAcentral.